Molecule: transfer RNA, 74 nt
Filed under: Gemmatimonadota bacterium
Lineage: Bacteria; Pseudomonadati; Gemmatimonadota
Also listed under: 1 other name
Description: Gemmatimonadetes bacterium tRNA-Pro
Rfam family: tRNA
About the family: Transfer RNA (tRNA) molecules are approximately 80 nucleotides in length.
Source: RNAcentral
CGGGGCGUAGCGCAGUCCGGUAGCGCGUCUGGUUUGGGACCAGAAGGUCGGCGGUUCGAAUCCGCCCGCCCCGA